This 527-nucleotide ribosomal RNA is filed under the name uncultured bacterium. RNAcentral describes it as "bacterial SSU rRNA". It matches the Rfam family "Bacterial small subunit ribosomal RNA", at positions 777 to 1304 of the family's 1533-position model. The record is from RNAcentral.
AAUAGAUACCCUGGUAGUCCACGCCGUAAACGAUGUCGACUUGGAGGUUGUUCCCUUGAGGAGUGGCUUCCGGAGCUAACGCGUUAAGUCGACCGCCUGGGGAGUACGGCCGCAAGGUUAAAACUCAAAUGAAUUGACGGGGGCCCGCACAAGCGGUGGAGCAUGUGGUUUAAUUCGAUGCAACGCGAAGAACCUUACCUACUCUUGACAUCCAGAGAACUUAGCAGAGAUGCUUUGGUGCCUUCGGGAACUCUGAGACAGGUGCUGCAUGGCUGUCGUCAGCUCGUGUUGUGAAAUGUUGGGUUAAGUCCCGCAACGAGCGCAACCCUUAUCCUUUGUUGCCAGCGGCUAGGCCGGGAACUCAAAGGAGACUGCCAGUGAUAAACUGGAGGAAGGUGGGGAUGACGUCAAGUCAUCAUGGCCCUUACGAGUAGGGCUACACACGUGCUACAAUGGCGCAUACAAAGAGAAGCGACCUCGCGAGAGCAAGCGGACCUCAUAAAGUGCGUCGUAGUCCGGAUUGGAGU